AAGUAGAUGCACCCUGAUGGUUUCCUUCAACUUAGGUUGGGGGAAUUUUUUU
Planktothrix agardhii NIVA-CYA 126/8 is the source of this 52-nucleotide small RNA. It matches the Rfam family "Nitrogen stress-induced RNA 1". The record is from Rfam. NCBI's taxonomy places the organism in Bacteria, Bacillati, Cyanobacteriota, Cyanophyceae, Oscillatoriales, Microcoleaceae.